CCUACGGGGGACAGCAGUGGGGAAUAUUGCACAAUGGGGGAAACCCUGAUGCAGCGACGCCGCGUGAGUGAAGAAGUAUCUCGGUACGUAAAGCUCUAUCAGCAGGGAAGAAAAUGACGGUACCUGACUAAGAAGCCCCGGCUAACUACGUGCCAGCAGCCGCGGUAAUACGGAGGAUGCGAGCGUUAUCCGGAUUUAUUGGGUUUAGAGGGUGCGUAGGCGGAAUGCCAAGUCAGCGGUAAAAUCGCGGGGCUCAACCUCGCUCCGCCGUUGAAACUGGCGUUCUUGAGUGGGCGAGAAGUAUGCGGAAUGCGUGGUGUAGCGGUGAAAUGCAUAGAUAUCACGCAGAACUCCGAUUGCGAAGGCAGCAUACCGGCGCCCGACUGACGCUGAGGCACGAAAGCGUGGGUAUCGAACAGGAUUAGAUACCCUUGUAGU
RNAcentral lists this ribosomal RNA (438 nucleotides) under uncultured bacterium. RNAcentral's name for it is "partial 16S ribosomal RNA". It matches the Rfam family "Bacterial small subunit ribosomal RNA", at positions 338 to 794 of the family's 1533-position model. The record is from RNAcentral.